This 207-nucleotide ribosomal RNA is filed under the name uncultured bacterium. RNAcentral's name for it is "partial 16S ribosomal RNA". It matches the Rfam family "Bacterial small subunit ribosomal RNA", at positions 568 to 774 of the family's 1533-position model. The record is from RNAcentral.
UGCGUAGGCGGCUUUCUAAGUCGGAUGUGAAAACUCUGGGCUCAACCCAGAGCCUGCAUCCGAAACUGGAGAGCUUGGGUUCUGGAGGGGAAAGCGGAAUUCCUGGUGUAGCGGUGAAAUGCGUAGAUAUCAGGAGGAACACCGGUGGCGAAGGCGGCUUUCUGGACAGAUACCGACGCUGAGGCACGAAAGCUAGGGGAGCAAACA